AUGCUCUUGGACGCCAUGAUGAUGGAGGCCAGGAAGGGGUUGAUGGAGAGGGAGAGGGAGAGGGACCAGUUCCCCGUCGGCAUGCGGGUCCUCGCCGUCGACGACGACCCUGUGUGCCUCAAGGUUCUGGAGGUCCUCCUCCGGCGCUGCCAGUAUCAUGUAACAACCACCAACCAGGCUGCCACUGCACUGAGGCUGUUAAGGGAGAACAAGGACAUGUUUGACCUGGUCAUCAGCGACGUCCACAUGCCCGACAUGGACGGCUUCAAGCUCCUCGAGCUCGUGGGGCUCGAAAUGGACCUCCCUGUCAUCAUGUUAUCGGUGAACGGAGAGACAAAAUCUGUGCUCAAGGGGAUAACCCAUGGCGCCUGCGACUACCUCCUAAAGCCCGUUCGGAUCGAAGAGCUCAGGAACGUGUGGCAGCACGUCGUUAGGAGGAAGUUCAGCAACCGUGAGCCGAACAACAACCAUGACCUCUGCAAGGAGAUCAGCAAGCCGCCGAGCGCGGACUCGUACCACCGGCUCGGCCAGGCGACGUGCGGCAUGUCGUCCGACCAGAGCAACAGGGCCGGCAAGAAGCGGAAGGAGCCGCACAGCGAGGAGGAAGACGAAGGCGAGGACAACGACGACGCCGCGGGGUCGAAGAAGCCGAGGGUGGUGUGGUCAGUGGAGCUGCACCGGAAGUUCGUCGCCGCCGUCAACCAGCUCGGGAUCGACAAGGCUGUACCCAAACGAAUACUCGAGCUUAUGAACGUGGAGAAGCUCACCAGGGAAAAUGUUGCGAGCCAUCUGCAGAAGUACAGGCUAUACCUCAGACGGCUAAGUGCCGUGGCAUCACAGCAAGCCAGCAUUGCUGCUGCUUUUGGAGGCAGAGACCCCUUCUUGCACAUGGGAGCAUUUGAAGGACUUCAUAGUUAUCAUCAACCCUUUGCCCCUCCUGCUGCUCUUCCAUCUCUCAAUCCACAUGGACUGCUGAGUGGUGCUGGUGCAGCAGCAUUUGGGCUUCAGGACCUUGCUUCUCCCAAGGCAAACCAGUGUUCUAGCAGCAACGGCGCAGUAAGUCAUUGCGCCGGCGAUACGGAGAAGUUCCACAUUGUGAGCUUACAAGACAACCAACAGGCAGAUUUAUCGCAAGGCUUGACCUCGUCGCUUGGGCAGCCCCAGCUCCAUCAGAAGUGGAUUCAUCAAGAAACCAGUGACUUGUGCUCUGUCUUUUCCGGGGGUGCUCUGGCUAACACUAUGUCUGGCACACUUCAAAGAGUUACAAGCAGUUCACUGCCACCAGAAGAUCUUUUGGAGUGCACUGCACACAUCAAAGUUGGAGCCCAUCCAUCAAUAGGAAUACCAACUGGGAGUUCAGGGCUGCUUGAAAGGUCUGUCGGAGUUUCCGCCGAUUUGCGGGAUUCUUGUAUAUCUCAGCAGUGUGCUCUUCCAAUCAGUGAUGGGUUUUCUGUCGACAAGUUACCGUUGCACAUCCCGUUCGAUGGUACCGGCACGACAAAACUUGAUGCUAGCUUUGUGGCUGGAGAACAAGAGAUGGACCAAAAGGGGAUAUUUUCGGAAAGAAUGGCUGUUACUGUUUGUCCUUCUGAGAGCCUUAUAGUAGCCAGCAAUGCCAAAUGUGGAGCUAGUUCUUGUGGUAGUACAAUGCUGCUCCCUCCUCAUGAUACCGAGAAACAUUCAAAAUACUUGCAGUUUGUGGUUGCAAGCAACUCUAGACAUAGAAUGGAUGGUGGAAUGAGACAAGACCAAAGACUGAACAGUGGAGGUUUUAGCUAUGAUGGUGGUGCCAUUGUGCCUGAGCAGACCGAUAUGUACGAUUUGGGAGUUCCAAAGCUGCAGGGUGGAUUCAAUUCUAGCAGCUGCAACUUUGAUGGUCUUCUCAAUUCCAUGAUAAAAGUGGAGAGCGACGAAGUGCCGUUCACGGAAAAUGACCUCGGGUGUGAACUUUUCCCACUUGGUGCCUGCAUAUGA
Molecule: ribosomal RNA, 1974 nt
Filed under: Triticum aestivum (bread wheat)
Lineage: Eukaryota; Viridiplantae; Streptophyta; Magnoliopsida; Poales; Poaceae
Description: partial small subunit ribosomal RNA
Source: RNAcentral